Molecule: long non-coding RNA, 290 nt
Organism: Siniperca chuatsi (mandarin fish)
Lineage: Eukaryota; Metazoa; Chordata; Actinopteri; Centrarchiformes; Sinipercidae
Exons: 2
Source: RefSeq, a predicted model, not a curated record
GCUCUCUGUGUGUGCGGCUUCAGUUGCAGCAGCUGCAGCUCUCUCGCUGUCGCUGUGCCAGGCAGCACCAGCCUCCACACACAGUCUCUCUCUCGCUCUGUGUUUGAACUCUUCUUCGUGUUUUCUUCUUCGUCUGAUUGACCUCCAACCUCUGAACGUCCUCAGGUGAGGAGACACAGGUGGAGGAGGAGAGGAGGUGUUGAGAGGACAGAAGGGCUGAGUGCGGAAGGAGGAGGAGGGGAGGAGGAGAGGGAGGACAACAGGAAAUCCUCUGUAAGAUGGAGAGAAAG